Molecule: long non-coding RNA, 1265 nt
Filed under: Dromaius novaehollandiae (emu)
Lineage: Eukaryota; Metazoa; Chordata; Aves; Casuariiformes; Dromaiidae
Description: lncRNA (ENSDNVG00000002818.1)
Source: RNAcentral
AGGACCUCCAAGUCCAGAAGUUAAACAGUGGCAGGACUUCCCUGACCUGACAGACAAGGUGACACUUGGAGGUCCUUCAGUGAAGUGCUGCUGGAUUCAGUGAUGUCAUUUGAUCAUCAGUGGUGAUCCCAAACUGUAGCAGGGGAAAGACAUAUUCUUGAGGUGCUAUUUGGUUAGUCUUCAGCCAACACAGCUUGCCCUGAUCUCUGAAAAUCAAAUCUCUAUAACGUGUUUUCAGAAUCAGCUCCCAAGACUGGAGCAUACUGGAAAAUACCGUGUUUGCUACACGUGAUCCUGAGCCAAAAGUUCUCAUUUGCAUUGUUGCAGAGCCCUGUGUCACGAUCAGUGGAGACUCUGUGGCGCAGGUGUGCCCUGUGCACUGAGAGGUGCUAAAACCUAUUCGCAUCUUGGAAGUUUCCACAGGAAAUAAAUAUAUAUGCCUGGGAAGGAAGGUGCUUUCAUACAAAAAAGCAUGAAGAACUCCAUCAGCUUACAAAUGCUCUCAGAAAGCAGUGAGAUGGUUUGAAACAAAACAAAGCUCUGAAUGAGAUGAAAGAUAAUGCGCUAGUGUCUGCAAGUCCCUCUAUAAAAUGCUUUUAACUUAUUAACCCUUCAGUUAACUUUUCAUUACUUGGAGACAGCAAAUGAUGGCAAUGUCACUAGGCUCUUAUCUUGAAAUUCUUCGAAUUUACCAAGGUUAACAAUUAAGCCCUAUCCUUUGACUUAGUUAAACAUGUACCAAUUCCUCUUAUUUCUUCCAUAAAAAUCUCCAGAUGACUGGAGAAUGAAAAGAGAUUAAAAAAAUCUGAGAUGAAGUUAUGUCUAGCAAAGCAAUAUGUGUACGGUUGACCUUAACCUUGUAAACUCAGUCUUCGAUGAUCUUGGAAAGGAACUCCCSUAGACUUCCGCAGAGGCAGACGUAUCCACGCAGGAGCGCUGUAGGUCCUAGGGGCUUACGGAGAUGCGGGAAAUGCGCAGGAGCAUCGCAGCAGAGUGUCUGCUGCAAAGACUUCUCUCCCCGUGGUCUCCUCCGUCAUUCGUUCAUGCUGCGGUUUCGGUGACCGGUGGAUGAGGUAUGCUACAAAUACGUGCCGGGUUCUGACUGCUGAGGCCUUCUGUACUGUGUAGCCUGGGUGCGGGGACAGGGCUGCCAGGCAAUUGCACCCAUCUCGCCUGCACCCUCUGUGUGUGCAUUCAGCACCACUGCAAAUAGAUUAUAUCUGCCAGGAAGAAAGUGUAACUUCUGUCACAUUUAAAAGCAUUGC